RNAcentral lists this ribosomal RNA (390 nucleotides) under uncultured bacterium. RNAcentral describes it as "bacterial SSU rRNA". It matches the Rfam family "Bacterial small subunit ribosomal RNA", at positions 29 to 420 of the family's 1533-position model. The record is from RNAcentral.
AUUAAACGCUGGCGGCAUGCCUUACACAUGCAAGUCGAACGGCAGCACGGGGGCAACCCUGGUGGCGAGUGGCGGACGGGUGAGUAAAGCAUCGGAACGUAUCCUGGAGUGGGGGAUAACGUAGCGAAAGUUACGCUAAUACCGCAUAUUCUGUGAGCAGGAAAGCAGGGGAUCGCAAGACCUUGCGCUCUGGGAGCGGCCGAUGUCGGAUUAGCUAGUUGGUGGGGUAAAGGCCUACCAAGGCGACGAUCCGUAGCGGGUCUGAGAGGAUGAUCCGCCACACUGGGACUGAGACACGGCCCAGACUCCUACGGGAGGCAGCAGUGGGGAAUUUUGGACAAUGGGCGCAAGCCUGAUCCAGCCACGCCGCGUGAGUGAAGAAGGCCUCGG